Molecule: ribosomal RNA, 424 nt
Filed under: Verrucomicrobiota bacterium
Lineage: Bacteria; Pseudomonadati; Verrucomicrobiota
Description: Verrucomicrobia bacterium partial 16S ribosomal RNA
Rfam family: Bacterial small subunit ribosomal RNA
Source: RNAcentral
UGAGGAAUAUUGGUCAAUGGACGCAAGUCUGAACCAGCCAAGUAGCGUGCAGGAUGACGGCCCUAUGGGUUGUAAACUGCUUUUAUAUGGGGAUAAAGUGGGGAACGUGUUCCCUUUUGCAGGUACCAUAUGAAUAAGGACCGGCUAAUUCCGUGCCAGCAGCCGCGGUAAUACGGAAGGUUCGGGCGUUAUCUGGAUUUAUUGGGUUUAAAGGGAGCGUAGGCCGUUUGGUAAGCGUGUUGUGAAAUGUAGGAGCUCAACUUCUAGAUUGCAGCGCGAACUGUCAGACUUAAGUGCGCACAACGUAGGCGGAAUUCAUGGUGUAGCGGUGAAAUGCUUAGAUAUCAUGAAGAACUCCGAUUGCGAAGGCAGCUUACGGGAGCGCAACUGACGCUGAAGCUCGAAGGUGCGGGUAUCGAACAGG